This 75-nucleotide transfer RNA is filed under the name Pseudomonadota bacterium. RNAcentral's name for it is "tRNA-Val". Lineage: Bacteria; Pseudomonadati; Pseudomonadota. The record is from RNAcentral. RNAcentral also lists the same sequence under 2 other names.
GGGUCCUUAGCUCAGCUGGUCCAGAGCGCUUCCUUGACGCGGAAGAGGUCACAGAUUCGAAUUCUGUAGGACCCA